Molecule: long non-coding RNA, 856 nt
Filed under: Musa acuminata (dwarf banana)
Lineage: Eukaryota; Viridiplantae; Streptophyta; Magnoliopsida; Zingiberales; Musaceae
Description: long non-coding RNA (MACU_LNC008201)
Source: RNAcentral
GUAGUCUUAGAAUUCAACCACUACCUAGUAACACCUAUACAUAGCUAAUGUCACUGCUAAUGUCACUGAAUUGACACUUUGAAACUGCCUUUCUACUUGUUCGGGUAAGACUUCUGAAAGGCUUCUUUCUGUAAGUUGAAGCACCAGACUCAGUAGCUAAAGUAAGGUAAGCUGCCCGGGGUUAAUAAAGAAGUGAAGUGGUCUACUUCCGCAUCUGGUAUAAGGCAAGUAAGUCUUCAUCCCGGUAGUAGUUGCACCGGUAGCAUCCUUACCUAGACCUGGACUUUAGCCAACACCUAAAGAUUCAAAUGGACCACUACUUGCUGGGGAUUCCAUUCGUACUAGGCGAACAGAAAGAGAUGCUCUUGCUCGUGUUUCAUCCCGAGUUCAAUCUAUUGUUUCAUCUAUUUGUUUCAAUAAGAAUAGUUAUAGGGAUAGAUCUAGCACAUAUCAUAUAGAGAUUGCAUCAGUUCCCGUAUCUGCUCUUUCAACUUAUGAUUAUGCUGAUCUACCAGUGGCUAACUCCGGUGCUCAAGAGACUAUUUUAUGCUUCCUUGCAGACCCAGCAAACACAGAGGAAACCCGGUCUUCUUAUAGCCCACUAGUUUACUUCAAUUCAAUACCAAUUGUAUACCUUGCCUCAACUUACAAUAAGGGCCUCAACUCUGUCUCUUUGAACUCAGGCUAAUCUAUUGGAGUUCUGGAUCUGGCAAUUCCAUAAGUUUGUCUUGUAGCCUUGGCGGUCAUUAUACUAAGCUUGGUGGACUCGGUAUUGACUUGUAUUAACUCGAACUAGCAGCCCUGACGCUUGGAACUCGCUACCUAGCAACAUUAUACCAAGCUUGCAAUUACUUAA